CCUACGGGAGGCUGCAGUGGGGAAUAUUGCACAAUGGGCGCAAGCCUGAUGCAGCCAUGCCGCGUGUGUGAAGAAGGCCUUCGGGUUGUAAAGCACUUUCAGCGGGGAGGAAGGCGGUGAGGUUAAUAACCUCAUCGAUUGACGUUACCCGCAGAAGAAGCACCGGCUAACUCCGUGCCAGCAGCCGCGGUAAUACGGAGGGUGCAAGCGUUAAUCGGAAUUACUGGGCGUAAAGCGCACGCAGGCGGUCUGUCAAGUCGGAUGUGAAAUCCCCGGGCUCAACCGGGGAACUGCAUUCGAAACUGGCAGGCUAGAGUCUUGUAGAGGGGGGUAGAAUUCCAGGUGUAGCGGUGAAAUGCGUAGAGAUCUGGAGGAAUACCGGUGGCGAAGGCGGCCCCCUGGACAAAGACUGACGCUCAGGUGCGAAAGCGUGGGGAGCAAACAGGAUUAGAUACCCGGUAGUC
This 464-nucleotide ribosomal RNA is filed under the name uncultured Klebsiella sp. Its description in RNAcentral is "bacterial SSU rRNA". It matches the Rfam family "Bacterial small subunit ribosomal RNA", at positions 338 to 795 of the family's 1533-position model. The record is from RNAcentral. Lineage: Bacteria; Pseudomonadati; Pseudomonadota; Gammaproteobacteria; Enterobacterales; Enterobacteriaceae.